Molecule: long non-coding RNA, 807 nt
Filed under: Salvia miltiorrhiza (redroot sage)
Lineage: Eukaryota; Viridiplantae; Streptophyta; Magnoliopsida; Lamiales; Lamiaceae
Description: long non-coding RNA (SMIL_LNC005023)
Source: RNAcentral
UAGCGUUCUGCGUUCAUAUUCAGUUUCAAUUAUUACUGAGUGGAAGACUAAUUAUUUGACAAUUAAAAGUUGAACAUAUUCAGCACAUCAAUGGUCCUGACAGUCAACUAUUACCAGCCAAGUCAGGAAAAUACAGCAAUUUAAUAAUCUCAUUCAAACCAACCAUAUACCGACCAAGUAAGAAUUAAGAUUAUUUUUGGGCCUUAAUCAUCACGUGAUUCACGAUAUAUGUUGCAAUUCUUCCAUAAAAUAUGGACGGAGCGUCAAAAUUCUGAAUCCAUUAAUCAUCACGUGAUUUGCGAUGUAUAUAUCGUACACCACUCCAGCAAACAAGGACGGAAUUAAAUUAAAAAAAAAUACAACAAGAUUACACGAUGUAUAAUAAUCUACGAUAUAUCCAUGUUCUUGUAAUGAAAUUACAAAUAUACACUAAUCUUUUUGUAUACAUAACGAAAUCCUAUAUCAGAAAGCACAGAUCUUCAAAUAAAAUUAACAAUUUCCAGCAGAGGAAAAAAUCAAUGUCAUUAACCAAAGAGAACGGAUUUUAUGAGCGUGUCGAGAUCAUUUCCGAAUUUCUAACUUCUUCUGUUCUUUGGCUACAAGGAGAAAGAGUAGCACAAAUCAGCCAUAAUAACGAGUAGGAACUGCAUUUCUGGAGAAUAAAAGCAGCUAAUUGAAUAUAGAGAUAGGUACCAGCUUUCUCUUCUUCCCGUUUUUUAGCAGCUUCAGCUCUUUCCUGGCGUAUAAGGGCCAAACGAUCUGCAAGUUGUAAGAACAACAACAUAUUAAGACACAUUAUUAUUGUUU